AGUGAACGCUGGCGGUAGGCCUAACACAUGCAAGUCGAACGGCAGCACAGUAAGAGGUUGCUCUUACGGGUGGCGAGUGGCGGACGGGUGAGGAAUACAUCGGAAUCUACUUUUUCGUGGGGGAUAACGUAGGGAAACUUACGCUAAUACCGCAUACGACCUACGGGUGAAAGCAGGGGAUCUUCGGACCUUGCGCGAUUGAAUGAGCCGAUGUCGGAUUAGCUAGUUGGCGGGGUAAAGGCCCACCAAGGCGACGAUCCGUAGCUGGUCUGAGAGGAUGAUCAGCCACACUGGAACUGAGACACGGUCCAGACUCCUACGGGAGGCAGCAGUGGGGAAUAUUGGACAAUGGGCGCAAGCCUGAUCCAGCCAUACCGCGUGGGUGAAGAAGGCCUUCGGGUUGUAAAGCCCUUUUGUUGGGAAAGAAAAGCAGCAGGUUAAUACCCCGCCGUUCUGACGGUACCCAAAGAAUAAGCACCGGCUAACUUCGUG
This 492-nucleotide ribosomal RNA is filed under the name uncultured bacterium. Its description in RNAcentral is "partial 16S ribosomal RNA". It matches the Rfam family "Bacterial small subunit ribosomal RNA", at positions 29 to 507 of the family's 1533-position model. The record is from RNAcentral.